GAGCACGUAGGUGGGUUUGUAAGUCAGAUGUGAAAGCCUUCUGUUCAACGGAAGAAUUGCAUCUGAAACUGCAAGUCUUGAGUGUAGGAGGGGAGAAUGGAACUUCUGGUGGAGCGGUGAAAUGCGUAGAUAUCAGAAGGAACGCCGGCGGCGAAAGCGAUUCUCUGGCCUAUUACUGACACUCAGUGUGCGAAAGCUAGGGGAGCAAACGGGAUUAGAUACCCCGGUAGUCCUAGCCGUAAACGAUGGGCACUAAGUAGAGGGAAUUACCGAUGUUCUCUCUGCCGUAGCUAACGCAUUAAGUGCCCCGCCUGGGGAGUACGGCCGCAAGGCUAAAACUCAAAAGAAUUGACGGGGGCUCGCACAAGCGGUGGAUGGGGUGGGGUUAAUUCAAUGCAACGCGAAAAACCUUACCGGGGCUUGACAUGGUAGAAGUAGGAACCCCGAAAGGGUAACGAACGGUAUCCAGUCCGUAGCUAUUACAGGUGUUGCAUGGCUGUCGUCAGCUCGUGUCGUGAGACGUUGGGUUAAGUCCCCUAACGAGCGAAACCCCUUAUUUUUAGUUACCAGCGGGUUGUGCCGGGGUACUCUAGAAAGAACUGCC
Molecule: ribosomal RNA, 604 nt
Filed under: uncultured Candidatus Scalindua sp.
Lineage: Bacteria; Pseudomonadati; Planctomycetota; Candidatus Brocadiia; Candidatus Brocadiales; Candidatus Scalinduaceae
Description: bacterial SSU rRNA
Rfam family: Bacterial small subunit ribosomal RNA
Source: RNAcentral